GUAGGGAGCGAGCGUUAUCCGGAAUUAUUGGGUGUAAAGGGUGCGUAGGCGGUUUUAUAAGUCAGAGGUGAAAGCCCAGAGCUUAACUCUGGUAAGCCAUUGAAACUGUAGAACUUGAGUAUGGUAGAGGCAAGUGGAAUUUCUAGUGUAGCGGUAAAAUGCGUAGAUAUUAGAAGGAACACCAGUGGCGAAGGCGACUUGCUGGGCCAAAACUGACGCUGAGGCACGAAAGCGUGGGGAGCAA
Molecule: ribosomal RNA, 244 nt
Filed under: uncultured bacterium
Lineage: Bacteria
Description: partial 16S ribosomal RNA
Rfam family: Bacterial small subunit ribosomal RNA
Source: RNAcentral